Molecule: unclassified non-coding RNA, 322 nt
Filed under: fungal sp.
Lineage: Eukaryota; Fungi
Description: partial internal transcribed spacer region
Rfam family: Eukaryotic small subunit ribosomal RNA (bases 1-46)
Source: RNAcentral
AAGUCGUAACAAGGUUUCCGUAGGUGAACCUGCGGAAGGAUCAUUAACACGUAUCCAACGUUAAAACAACCGUGAACUUUCAGCUUGCUCCUGUAGCCCGUGAAAACAGCAAUCCCUGGUAAAUCAUUGUUGACCAGCUUUUGAGUCAGGGACCUCUGCCGAUUGUGAUAUUUUAUAGCUACGGUUGAGCGAUUGCAUCUAGUGAUGUUCGGUUUUUGGUGCCGUGCGAAUUUCACGCGCGGCCAAUUCGUACUGUGUUAUCAAUGACACUUUCAGACACUGAUUACUUGGGUAUGCCAGGUCAAUGGAUAUCUUGGUUCUC